AUUGAACGCUGGCGGCAUGCUUUACACAUGCAAGUCGAACGGCAGCGCGGGCUUCGGCCUGGCGGCGAGUGGCGAACGGGUGAGUAAUGCAUCGGAACGUGCCCAGUAGUGGGGGAUAGCCCGGCGAAAGCCGGAUUAAUACCGCAUACGACCUGCGGGUGAAAGCGGGGGACCGAAAGGCCUCGCGCUAUUGGAGCGGCCGAUGUCGGAUUAGCUAGUUGGUGGGGUAAAGGCUUACCAAGGCGACGAUCCGUAGCUGGUCUGAGAGGACGACCAGCCACACUGGGACUGAGACACGGCCCAGACUCCUACGGGAGGCAGCAGUGGGGAAUUUUGGACAAUGGGGGCAACCCUGAUCCAGCCAGGCCGCGUGCGGGAAGAAGGCCUUCGGGUUGUAAACCGCUUUUGUUCGGGAAGAAAUCCUCUGGGCUAAUACCCCGGGGGGAUGACGGUACCGGAAGAAUAAGCACCGGCUAACUACGUG
Molecule: ribosomal RNA, 484 nt
Filed under: uncultured bacterium
Lineage: Bacteria
Description: partial 16S ribosomal RNA
Rfam family: Bacterial small subunit ribosomal RNA
Source: RNAcentral